This 553-nucleotide ribosomal RNA is filed under the name uncultured bacterium. RNAcentral describes it as "partial 16S ribosomal RNA". It matches the Rfam family "Bacterial small subunit ribosomal RNA", at positions 355 to 895 of the family's 1533-position model. The record is from RNAcentral.
UGGGGAAUAUUGCACAAUGGGCGCAAGCCUGAUGCAGCCAUGCCGCGUGUGUGAAGAAGGCCUUCGGGUUGUAAAGCACUUUCAGCGAGGAGGAAGGUGGUGAGCUUAAUACGCUCAUCAAUUGACGUUACUCGCAGAAGAAGCACCGGCUAACUCCGUGCCAGCAGCCGCGGUAAUACGGAGGGUGCAAGCGUUAAUCGGAAUUACUGGGCGUAAAGCGCACGCAGGCGGUUUGUUAAGUCAGAUGUGAAAUCCCCGGGCUCAACCUGGGAACUGCAUUUGAAACUGGCAAGCUAGAGUCUCGUAGAGGGGGGUAGAAUUCCAGGUGUAGCGGUGAAAUGCGUAGAGAUCUGGAGGAAUACCGGUGGCGAAGGCGGCCCCCUGGACGAAGACUGACGCUCAGGUGCGAAAAGCGUGGGGAGCAAAACAGGAUUAGAUACCCUGGUAGUCCACGCUGUAAAACGAUGUCGAUUUUGGAGGUUGUGCCCCUUGAGGCGUGGCUUCCGGAGCUAACGCGUUAAAUCGACCGCCUGGGGAGUACGGCCGCAAGGUU